AGAUUGAACGCUAGCGGGAUGCCUUACACAUGCAAGUCGAACGGCAGCGCGGACUUCGGUCUGGCGGCGAGUGGCGAACGGGUGAGUAAUAUAUCGGAACGUGCCCAGUAGCGGGGGAUAACUACGCGAAAGCGUGGCUAAUACCGCAUACGCCCUACGGGGGAAAGGGGGGGAUUCUUCGGAACCUCUCACUAUUGGAGCGGCCGAUAUCAGAUUAGCUAGUUGGUGAGGUAAAGGCUCACCAAGGCGACGAUCUGUAGCUGGUUUGAGAGGACGACCAGCCACACUGGGACUGAGACACGGCCCAGACUCCUACGGGAGCAGCAGGUGGGAAUUUGGACAAGUGGGGAACCUGAUCAGCCAUCCCGCGUGUGCGAUGAAGGUCCGUUCGGGUUACGUAACCUCUUUACGAGCGAGGACGAAGCGACAAGU
This 432-nucleotide ribosomal RNA is filed under the name uncultured soil bacterium. RNAcentral's name for it is "bacterial SSU rRNA". It matches the Rfam family "Bacterial small subunit ribosomal RNA", at positions 26 to 461 of the family's 1533-position model. The record is from RNAcentral.